This is a long non-coding RNA of Dermacentor albipictus, 243 nucleotides long. RefSeq lists it as uncharacterized. The record is from RefSeq and is a predicted model, not a curated record. NCBI's taxonomy places the organism in Eukaryota, Metazoa, Arthropoda, Arachnida, Ixodida, Ixodidae.
UACGGAUUUAGCUUCGGCCCUAGCCCUUUUGGAAGCAGAUCUGGUAGAGCUGGAUCUUCCCGAAGUGCGGGAGCAAAUGGAAAUACUGGCUCUAGAAGCUCCAGCUCACCCUCUGCUUCCUCUAACCAGUAAUGGAUAAUCUACAAUCCUAGGCAUCUUACAGAUACCGGAGUUCCACGUAGUGGUUCCCUAAUAAUUUCAAAGGACUAGAAAUACUAUCAACGCGAUAGAUGCACACUUCGC